Molecule: ribosomal RNA, 484 nt
Filed under: uncultured bacterium
Lineage: Bacteria
Description: partial 16S ribosomal RNA
Rfam family: Bacterial small subunit ribosomal RNA
Source: RNAcentral
AUUGAACGCUGGCGGCAGGCCUAACACAUGCAAGUCGAGCGGAUGAAGGGAGCUUGCUCCUGGAUUCAGCGGCGGACGGGUGAGUAAUGCCUAGGAAUCUGCCUGGUAGUGGGGGAUAACGUCCGGAAACGGGCGCUAAUACCGCAUACGUCCUGAGGGAGAAAGUGGGGGAUCUUCGGACCUCACGCUAUCAGAUGAGCCUAGGUCGGAUUAGCUAGUUGGUGGGGUAAAGGCCUACCAAGGCGACGAUCCGUAACUGGUCUGAGAGGAUGAUCAGUCACACUGUAACUGAGACACGGUCCAGACUCCUACGGGAGGCAACAGUGUGGAAUAUAGGACAAUGGGCGAAAGCCUGAUCCAGCCAUGCCGCGUGUGUGAAGAAGGUCUUCGGAUUGUAAAACACUUUAAGUUGGGAGGAAGGGCAGUAAGUUAAUACCUUGCUGUUUUGACGUUACCAACAGAAUAAGCACCGGCUAACUUCGUG